This 438-nucleotide long non-coding RNA is filed under the name Ornithorhynchus anatinus (platypus). RNAcentral's name for it is "lncRNA (ENSOANG00000049993.1)". Lineage: Eukaryota; Metazoa; Chordata; Mammalia; Monotremata; Ornithorhynchidae. The record is from RNAcentral.
AUACCAAGUGCCAUUUAAUGGCUAAACCUUAAUACUGCAAUUAUCCUUCACUUUCUCCAGGGCUUUUAACUGAGUGCACAUGAGUGGCCUUUCAGAAAAAUGGGUGGAAGGAGUGAAUACUUGGCAAUAAUUGGCCCUUGAAGUGGAGGCUCAAUCAGCCGGGCUCUGAUUGGAACCACCUAGAAACCACACCCCCGAAUAGCUUUCCAGCAGCUGAGAAUUCACGGAAGAGAAAAGAGAUGGGAUCAUGCCCAAUGCCACCAGCACAAAGGAUCCAUCUGCCUCCAGAUUAAAAUAAAAAUAGUGAUAAGGUGAACUAGAAGGACAAACAAGCAUAGUUUGGCAAAGUAGAGAAGCAACGUGGCCGAGUGGAUAAAGCACGGGCCAGGGAGAAGGACCUGGGUUCUAGUGCCAGCUCCACCAUUUGUCUGCUGUGUG